RNAcentral lists this ribosomal RNA (235 nucleotides) under uncultured bacterium. Its description in RNAcentral is "partial 16S ribosomal RNA". It matches the Rfam family "Bacterial small subunit ribosomal RNA", at positions 15 to 235 of the family's 1533-position model. The record is from RNAcentral.
GAUCAUGGCUCAGGAUGAACGCUAGCUACAGGCUUAACACAUGCAAGUCGAGGGGAAACGACAUCGAAAGCUUGCUUUUGAUGGGCGUCGACCGGCGCACGGGUGAGUAACGCGUAUCCAACCUGCCCUAUACAGGGGGAUAACCCGGAGAAAUCCGGACUAAUACCCCAUAAUAUGGGCGCUCCGCAUGGAGAGUCCAUUAAAGAGAGCAAUCUUGGUUACAGACGAGCAUGCG